UAUCGGGACUAUUAUGAAAUUGUUAUUUGAUCUUGAUGAAGUUUUUUUUAUAUAAUAUUACUAUACAUGUUUUUACAACAUAUUAUGUUCAAACUUUUUCAUAAAAUGUCUUGCUUAAUCACCAAUAAGAUAUUGUACAAUAAAAUGACCCAAAGGCACACAAAUACACAAUUUCACCUGAACACUACACCUCUCGGAAGACGAAAAAUCAUAGUUCAUCAAAAUCAACAACCUACCAAUGGUCGCCAUUGGAAGCAACGACAUAAUUAAAGAAAAUAAAUUUAAGGAGCUAAUAGAAGAGUUUUAGGCAAUGAUAAAACAGAAUGUGAAUUAAUUUUAUGAUUUUUAGAUUGAACCCAAUCUCAGCAAAAUUUUCAAACUAUGGCGGUAGAAAUAUCUGUAGAAUUUAUUACCACUAAAUCUCAAGCAAAGCAGAUAAAUAGUAGAUCUAUUACAAAGAGCUGCUGAAAAAAGAUCAAACGAUGAAGUUUUGGGAAAAAAUCUAUUAAGUACAAAAUGCUUGAACAAAUGCCAG
Long non-coding RNA from Myzus persicae (green peach aphid), 535 nucleotides. RefSeq lists it as uncharacterized. The transcript has 4 exons. Lineage: Eukaryota; Metazoa; Arthropoda; Insecta; Hemiptera; Aphididae. The record is from RefSeq and is a predicted model, not a curated record.